ACGAAAUUAAGGGGCCCUGCGGAGCGGCCCGGGCCCACUAGCCGCGCCUCGAGGUCUCUAAAACCGUCAACGAGUGUCGCAAAAGCUCAGUGGUAAUGAAAUUCGGGCCCCUGCACCGAUGCGUGGGGCUAUUCGUUUCCCGAUAUCGCAAAAUCUGUUGAAAAAUCUUCUGGAAUUCCCGAGAAUUUCUCGGAACCAGUCAAAGACCAAGCACAAGUGACUGUUAGAAUUUGACGUGAAAUCCUUUGAAAGUACUUGAAAUUUUGAUACAAGUAAAAACUGCAAGACAUUCGAGGUGAAAUCAUCUGGAAUCGCUUGAAAUCGCAUGCCUCGAGUAAAAUUAUUGGGAAUACAUGGUUGAAUCAUCGAAAUCUUGUAAUCACUUGUCACUUAAUCUGUAAGCGAAUAGCUCCUCGCACCGAUGCUUGCACCGAAAUCGGAGAGGUGUGAAAUUUAUACCACGUCGAUCCCGAAGCCCACGCCUGCAUUCGCGAAGAGACCAGAGAGGAAUCGUCUCCUCGAUCGUUUCACGUAAAACUCGGAUCGUAGAAUAUCUUCAAUGGUUGGAGCUGCGGUCAGGGUGGUGAUAAAUUAGCCCUAAAUAACAGCUGAGUUUGAGAAAACAAAAGGUAAUUUGUUCCCCGGGCACGUCGCUGACAACCAAGGCAACCCUGAAACUCGACUCAGUUUUCAGCCUCCGCUGCAACGGGAUUGCUGCGCUCAGCCAGGGCCAGAGAUCUAUCUCGGAUAGCCAAGGGACGGACAGACGGACGGACCUCGAAGCGGGAUUUUUUAACUCGGUUAACCCCCGCGUGCGACUUUUCGGUAACGUGUACAAUGCGUGUAAUGCUCGGGCGUGUGGAGGUGGCCGGUCGCCGCAGGCAUACCCGGCUCGGUUUUUCAAGGAAACGCGUAUCUGAUUGACCACAAACACCUGGAUAGCAAUGGCAUAAGUCUCUCCCGUAACUCUCCUUCCACCGUUCCACGUAUCAUCCGAAGGCGAUCGUCGAGAGCUGGAUUCCAGCUCUAGGCUGCACCGGACUUAGUGUAGAUUGACGAAGGAGCUCCGAUCCUUGGAUGGGGUCGCCGCGGUUUGACGCAUGGAACAAAUGGUCCUGCGCCUGGAGGCCGGUCCUGCAGCCUGUAGAGAUCUUUAUCUUCAAUGCCGGCGUUUUCUCGGGAUUCAAUCGUGCGCGUCUCUCUUACGACCUGAUCAUGAUCUGCUGCAGGGGCGCAAGUACCUUGGGCUGAAAGAGCUAGUUAGCGAACGUGUCAAGUCACCGCUUCAUUAACGGACUCGACUAAUGGCGGGCAAAGUAGAUCAUUAAUCAUCGGAAUAUGCGCGCAUGUGGACGUGCAGGGUCGAGUGGUAUUGUGGCGUGUUGACGACGUGGAUGCAGGCAGAGCCGAAACCGAACUACACGCACACACAGCUGUGCGCGAAUGGAUUCAUUGAAAGUGAUGAAAUUAAACGAGGCUUAAACCGGUGUAAUGAUUAGCAAGUUGUUGCUGCGCCGUUUGUACGAGAGAGGCCGCGGUGAGGAGGAUAUUGGGUGCAAAUGAAUUUUAAUGACGUCGAAUGCUCGGCCGGGAACCUCCCCGUUCUCCACACAAUGCCCCCCGAUGAUUGAUACAU
This 1636-nucleotide long non-coding RNA is filed under the name Neodiprion pinetum (white pine sawfly). Its description in RNAcentral is "uncharacterized LOC124217791". Lineage: Eukaryota; Metazoa; Arthropoda; Insecta; Hymenoptera; Diprionidae. The record is from RNAcentral.